This 879-nucleotide ribosomal RNA is filed under the name Metagonimus yokogawai. Its description in RNAcentral is "SSU rRNA". It matches the Rfam family "Eukaryotic small subunit ribosomal RNA", at positions 283 to 1071 of the family's 1831-position model. The record is from RNAcentral. Lineage: Eukaryota; Metazoa; Platyhelminthes; Trematoda; Opisthorchiida; Heterophyidae.
GUCGGCGACGGAUCUUUCAAAUGUCUGCCCUAUCAAUUUUCGAUGGUAGGUGACCUGCCUACCAUGGUGAUAACGGGUAACGGGGAAUCAGGGUUCGAUUCCGGAGAGGGAGCCUGAGAAACGGCUACCACUUCCAAGGAAGGCAGCAGGCGCGCAAAUUACCCAAUCCCGGCACGGGGAGGUAGUGACGAAAAAUACGGAUACGGGACUCGUUAGAGGCUCCGUAAUUCGAAUGAGUACACUUUAAAUCCUUUAACGAGGAUCAACUGGAGGGCAAGUCUGGUGCCAGCAGCCGCGGUAACUCCAGCUCCAGAAGCGUAUAUUAAAGUUGUUGCAGUUAAAAAGCUCGUAGUUGGAUCUGGGUCGCAUGGCUACAUGCCGUUGCUCGUAUUUCUGGCCUGGUUCACACCGGGACGGAUUUAUGAGUCGGUGUCGUGGUUGUGCAGCCUUUCUGCCGUGUCUGUUUCGACAGGUGUUGGCAUGAUUGGUGGGUUCGUCCUGCUGGUCUGUUGACAUGCUUCCAGGUGCCCUUUACUGGGUGUCGGGGGCGGACGGCACGUUUACUUUGAACAAAUUUGAGUGCUCAAAGCAGGCCCGUGUGCCUGAAAAUUCUUGCAUGGAAUAAUGGAAUAGGACUUCGGUUCUAUUUUGUUGGUUUUCGGAUCCGAAGUAAUGGUUAAAAGGGACAGACGGGGGCAUUUGUAUGGCGGUGUUAGAGGUGAAAUUCUUGGAUCGCCGCCAGACAAACUACAGCGAAAGCAUUUGCCAAGGAUGUUUUCAUUGAUCUGGAGCGAAAGUCAGAGGUUCGAAGACGAUCAGAUACCGUCCUAGUUCUGACCAUAAACGAUGCCAACUGACGAUCCGUGGUGGCGCGAUUAU